This 497-nucleotide ribosomal RNA is filed under the name uncultured bacterium. RNAcentral's name for it is "partial 16S ribosomal RNA". It matches the Rfam family "Bacterial small subunit ribosomal RNA", at positions 28 to 507 of the family's 1533-position model. The record is from RNAcentral.
GAUGAACGCUGGCGGCGUGCCUAAUGCAUGCAAGUCGAGCGAACGGACGAGAAGCUUGCUUCUCUGAUGUUAGCGGCGGACGGGUGAGUAACACGUGGAUAACCUACCUAUAAGACUGGGAUAACUUCGGGAAACCGGAGCUAAUACCGGAUAAUAUUUUGAACCGCAUGGUUCAAAAGUGAAAGACGGUCUUGCUGUCACUUAUAGAUGGAUCCGCGCUGCAUUAGCUAGUUGGUAAGGUAACGGCUUACCAAGGCAACGAUGCAUAGCCGACCUGAGAGGGUGAUCGGCCACACUGGAACUGAGACACGGUCCAGACUCCUACGGGAGGCAGCAGUAGGGAAUCUUCCGCAAUGGGCGAAAGCCUGACGGAGCAACGCCGCGUGAGUGAUGAAGGUCUUCGGAUCGUAAAACUCUGUUAUUAGGGAAGAACAUAUGUGUAAGUAACUGUGCACAUCUUGACGGUACCUAAUCAGAAAGCCACGGCUAACUACAUG